GGAGAGAUGGGUGAGUGGCUGAAACCAGUUGUUUGCUAAACAACCGUACAGGGUAAACCUGUACCGAGGGUUCGAAUCCCUCUCUCUCCGCCA
RNAcentral lists this transfer RNA (93 nucleotides) under Bdellovibrionales bacterium. RNAcentral's name for it is "tRNA-Ser". It matches the Rfam family "tRNA". From Rfam's summary of the family: Transfer RNA (tRNA) molecules are approximately 80 nucleotides in length. Their secondary structure includes four short double-helical elements and three loops (D, anti-codon, and T loops). The record is from RNAcentral. Lineage: Bacteria; Pseudomonadati; Bdellovibrionota; Bdellovibrionia; Bdellovibrionales.